RNAcentral lists this RNase P RNA (199 nucleotides) under Chloroflexota bacterium. Its description in RNAcentral is "Chloroflexi bacterium (aquatic metagenome) partial RNase P RNA component class A". It matches the Rfam family "Bacterial RNase P class A", at positions 169 to 367 of the family's 367-position model. Rfam says of the family: Ribonuclease P (RNase P) is a ubiquitous endoribonuclease, found in archaea, bacteria and eukarya as well as chloroplasts and mitochondria. Its best characterised activity is the generation of mature 5'-ends of tRNAs by cleaving the 5'-leader elements of precursor-tRNAs. The record is from RNAcentral. Lineage: Bacteria; Bacillati; Chloroflexota.
AAGAGCUCACCGCUCCGAUGGUGACAUCGGUGGCGGGUAAACCCCACCUGGAGCAAGGCCAAAUAGGAGGACCCAGGGCGCCCGGCCUGUCCUCGGGUAGGCCGCAUGACUCUUCCGGUAACGGAAGGGCUAGAUAGAUGGUCACCAUCCUUCCCAUUGCGGAAGGAUACAGAACUCGGCUUACAGGUUUACUUGGUCA